GAUGAACGCUGGCGGCGUGCCUAAUACAUGCAAGUCGAGCGAACGGACGAGAAGCUUGCUUCUCUGAUGUUAGCGGCGGACGGGUGAGUAACACGUGGAUAACCUACCUAUAAGACUGGGAUAACUUCGGGAAACCGGAGCUAAUACCGGAUAAUAUUUUGAACCGCAUGGUUCAAAAGUAAAAGACGGUCUUGCUGUCACUUAUAGAUGGAUCCGCGCUGCAUUAGCUAGUUGGUAAGGUAACGGCUUACCAAGGCAACGAUGCAUAGCCGACCUGAGAGGGUGAUCGGCCACACUGGAACUGAGACACGGUCCAGACUCCUACGGGAGGCAGCAGUAGGGAAUCUUCCGCAAUGGGCGAAAGCCUGACGGAGCAACGCCGCGUGAGUGAUGAAGGUCUUCGGAUCGUAAAACUCUGUUAUUAGGGAAGAACAUAUGUGUAAGUAACUGUGCACAUCUUGACGGUACCUAAGCAGAAAGCCACGGCUAACUACGU
RNAcentral lists this ribosomal RNA (496 nucleotides) under uncultured bacterium. RNAcentral's name for it is "partial 16S ribosomal RNA". It matches the Rfam family "Bacterial small subunit ribosomal RNA", at positions 28 to 506 of the family's 1533-position model. The record is from RNAcentral.